This 95-nucleotide small nuclear RNA is filed under the name Rattus norvegicus (Norway rat). Lineage: Eukaryota; Metazoa; Chordata; Mammalia; Rodentia; Muridae. The record is from RNAcentral.
GUUCUUGCUUCAGCAGCACAUAUACAAAAAUUGAAACAAUACAGAGGCCCCUGCACAAGGAUGACACGCAAAUUCGUGAAGCGUUCCAUAUUAAA